This 1450-nucleotide ribosomal RNA is filed under the name uncultured organism. Its description in RNAcentral is "SSU rRNA". It matches the Rfam family "Bacterial small subunit ribosomal RNA". The record is from RNAcentral.
AACGCUAGCUACAGGCUUAACACAUGCAAGUCGAGGGGCAUCAGGAAGAAAGCUUGCUUUCUUUGCUGGCGACCGGCGCACGGGUGAGUAACACGUAUCCAACCUGCCCUUUACUCGGGGAUAGCCUUUCGAAAGAAAGAUUAAUACCCGAUAGCAUAAUGAUUCCGCAUGGUUUCAUUAUUAAAGGAUUCCGGUAAAGGAUGGGGAUGCGUUCCAUUAGGUUGUUGGUGAGGUAACGGCUCACCAAGCCUUCGAUGGAUAGGGGUUCUGAGAGGAAGGUCCCCCACAUUGGAACUGAGACACGGUCCAAACUCCUACGGGAGGCAGCAGUGAGGAAUAUUGGUCAAUGGGCGCUAGCCUGAACCAGCCAAGUAGCGUGAAGGAUGAAGGCUCUAUGGGUCGUAAACUUCUUUUAUAUAAGAAUAAAGUGCAGUAUGUAUACUGUUUUGUAUGUAUUAUAUGAAUAAGGAUCGGCUAACUCCGUGCCAGCAGCCGCGGUAAUACGGAGGAUCCGAGCGUUAUCCGGAUUUAUUGGGUUUAAAGGGAGCGUAGGUGGACUGGUAAGUCAGUUGUGAAAGUUUGCGGCUCAACCGUAAAAUUGCAGUUGAUACUGUCAGUCUUGAGUACAGUAGAGGUGGGCGGAAUUCGUGGUGUAGCGGUGAAAUGCUUAGAUAUCACGAAGAACUCCGAUUGCGAAGGCAGCUCACUGGACUGCAACUGACACUGAUGCUCGAAAGUGUGGGUAUCAAACAGGAUUAGAUACCCUGGUAGUCCACACAGUAAACGAUGAAUACUCGCUGUUUGCGAUAUACAGUAAGCGGCCAAGCGAAAGCAUUAAGUAUUCCACCUGGGGAGUACGCCGGCAACGGUGAAACUCAAAGGAAUUGACGGGGGCCCGCACAAGCGGAGGAACAUGUGGUUUAAUUCGAUGAUACGCGAGGAACCUUACCCGGGCUUAAAUUGCAGUGGAAUGAUGUGGAAACAUGUCAGUGAGCAAUCACCGCUGUGAAGGUGCUGCAUGGUUGUCGUCAGCUCGUGCCGUGAGGUGUCGGCUUAAGUGCCAUAACGAGCGCAACCCUUAUCUUCAGUUACUAACAGGUCAUGCUGAGGACUCUGGAGAGACUGCCGUCGUAAGAUGUGAGGAAGGUGGGGAUGACGUCAAAUCAGCACGGCCCUUACGUCCGGGGCUACACACGUGUUACAAUGGGGGGUACAGAAGGCAGCUAGCGGGUGACCGUAUGCUAAUCCCAAAAGCCUCUCUCAGUUCGGAUCGAAGUCUGCAACCCGACUUCGUGAAGCUGGAUUCGCUAGUAAUCGCGCAUCAGCCACGGCGCGGUGAAUACGUUCCCGGGCCUUGUACACACCGCCCGUCAAGCCAUGGGAGCCGGGGGUACCUGAAGUACGUAACCGCAAGGAUCGUCCUAGGGUAAAACUGGUGACUGGGGCUAAG